UUGGGAAUCUUGCACAAUGGGGGAAACCCUGAUGCAGCGACGCCGCGUGGAGGACGAAGGAUCUAGGUCUGUAAACUCCUUUUUCACGGAAAGACUUAGGACGGUACCGUGAGAAUAAGCCCCGGCUAACUACGUGCCAGCAGCCGCGGUAAGACGUAGGGGGCGAGCGUUGUCCGGAUUUACUGGGCGUAAAGAGCGCGUAGGCGACUCGUUAAGUGUGAAGUGAAAUCUCCAGGGCUCAACCCGGAAACUGCUUCGCAUACUGGCGAGCUUGGGGAAUGCAGAGGUAAGUAGAAUUCCUGGUGUAGCGGUGAAAUGCGUAGAUAUCAGGAGGAAUACCGACGGCGAAGGCAGCUUACUGGGCAUUAUCUGACGCUGAGGCGCGAAAGCGUGGGUAGCAAACAGGGAUUAGAUACCCUCGUAGUCCCUGAGCGGGCUGGCAAGGCGCAU
Molecule: ribosomal RNA, 450 nt
Filed under: uncultured bacterium
Lineage: Bacteria
Description: bacterial SSU rRNA
Rfam family: Bacterial small subunit ribosomal RNA
Source: RNAcentral